Parasteatoda tepidariorum (common house spider) is the source of this 486-nucleotide non-coding RNA. Lineage: Eukaryota; Metazoa; Arthropoda; Arachnida; Araneae; Theridiidae. The record is from RefSeq and is a predicted model, not a curated record.
UUCAAUGGAUGAGUAGAGUGCUGUUGAUAGUAUUCAUCAAGUUGGAAUUUGCUGUCUUGCUCUAGUUUUGCCCAAUUGUUGCCAAAAGUGGUAUUCAUUUAUCUGAAUCAAAAAGACGAUUUUAAGAGGGAAGUUUACACCCAGCCAAUGUAUUGAUGUGCCCUCACACCUUUGUUACCAAUCUUCCUAAACCUAGAGAAGCUUAUUCUGGAAGCUGGCAAUGUUGUUGAUAUAAAGUCAUGGCCUCUCCUCUUAGAUACUGAUGAAAUUCCAGAAGAGAAAUUAACUAGCAUGUAUAGUACCCCAACUACUGAAAUGAUAACUUAUUUGGAUUUAAAUGUUAGCCCAACUGGAAUGCUAGCUGGUAUUAAGAUGUCCCAUGCAGUAUCAACCUUUUUCUGUACAAGUAUGAAACUUGCCUGUGAAUUAUAUCCAUCAAGACACAUAACUUUUGGCCUUGAUCCUUACUGUUGUUUAGGUUUUGCC